UACGUAGGGUGCAAGCGUUGUCCGGAAUUAUUGGGCGUAAAGAGCUCGUAGGCGGUUUGUCGCGUCUGCUGUGAAAACUCGGGGCUUAACCCCGGGUCUGCAUUCGAUACGGGCUAGCUAGAGUGUGGUAGGGGAGAUCGGAAUUCCUGGUGUAGCGGUGAAAUGCGCAGAUAUCAGGAGGAACACCGGUGGCGAAGGCGGGUCUCUGGGCCGAUACUGACGCUGAGGAGCGAAAGCGUGGGGAGCGAACAGG
Molecule: ribosomal RNA, 253 nt
Filed under: uncultured bacterium
Lineage: Bacteria
Description: partial 16S ribosomal RNA
Rfam family: Bacterial small subunit ribosomal RNA
Source: RNAcentral